This is a long non-coding RNA of Bombus terrestris (buff-tailed bumblebee), 2827 nucleotides long. RefSeq lists it as uncharacterized. The record is from RefSeq and is a predicted model, not a curated record. The transcript is spliced from 2 exons. NCBI's taxonomy places the organism in Eukaryota, Metazoa, Arthropoda, Insecta, Hymenoptera, Apidae.
UUCAGGAUUUUGCAAGACAGCAGAGAGAUAGAAAUGGCCGUGGGCUGCGAGGCAGCCAGCAAACCGUAUCCAGCGGGAAAAAAUGGCCGUGGCCCUGACCACCUGCUGCCACUUUGAUACCGCCGCUAGAAUCUCAUUUAGCCGUGUAAUUCCGACGUUCAUUGACGAUGGAUCGUCUCUCCUCUGCGGCAUUGUAGGUGUACUGAAACACUUCGUACCUUCUAAUAUAUGAUCGAUCAAGAAGACCGAGCGGAACAUCGUGCGCGUACAGCGUUACCAGAAUCCAUGGCGCGUGAACCAGUCGUGUUUCUCCCAGGAAAAAAUCGUUUCGCUCGAUUUCCAACAGCCUCAUCGUUCCACAGCACCGACAGUCACUCGCAGCUCCAACUGUAUCUUAAACUGAACUUCAUAGUUGUAAUAAAUCUGAUCCAAGUAUUCCUGGUGCCUUUCUGCUGCACUCGUUAGCGUCUGGAAUAUUUGGUUUCACAAAAAGUUCCAUAAAAUUGCCAUAUGGAUUUGUCAAUUAAAAUCGAAGACAGAUUGUAACGAAGAUCGUAAGGAAUAAUUAAAAGACAAGGCGAUAGAAUCAGCGAAGGACAAACAUAGUUCUAUGGCCGUAAGUCUGCGGACAUGGCACCCGAUUUCCGGCAAUGAAUAGCCGCUGAUUGUUUGCGCCGCGUCACGGUUUUACAGUCGCGUUUAAUUCAAUUUGUGAGUGACUUACGAUGUCUGUCAUUAGUCAUCGUGAGGCGUGUGCGCGCCCGCGCGCCUCGUAGCUCCUUCGUAUACACCGUGCAAGAAGAAGAAGAAGAAGAAGAAGAAGAGGAGGAGGAAGAGGCUGCGGAGCGAGUACAAGGUUUACACGGAUCUCGUCCGUUCGCGGCGAUUAUCGGUCAAGAAUGAGCCUCAUCAGGUGAAUCGGCUCGAAAUGGUACCGACGUAACGCGAUUAAUACCCUGCCACUUCGUCCUGACGAUGCUUCAGCGAGACACCAAAUGUUGAAAGCAUGCAGCAUGCUCGAAGGAAUAUUAGAAAAUGGAAGAAUGGGAGGAAACGAGGAACUUGUGCACUUUUUCAUGGGUCGUAAUCUACGUAUAUUCGUGCUGCCUUCUUUCGACUCGUCGGCUCCGUUUAUCCUCCGUUUCUUCUUCGAUUGGACGCUGCGAAAGGGCUGCGUGCCGCCAAUUGAUUCGCGACACAAUGUCGGAUAACAUUGGAGAAUGCCGCUCAUCAGGUGAAUCGGCCGCAAAUGGUAGCCAGCUAAUAAGUGUUUAUUAUUCGACCGGUGUUCGUGCACGUGGUCGAGAGUGUACGUAAAUACGGAAGAACGAGCCGCGGCCACAAAGAGGAGAGAGAAAGUUACUGUUACGCUCGCCGUCCACGUUCAGCCGUCCGACGAUGACCGAGCAAAUUCGUCCUGAAGGUUCUACCCUCGAGCGGACGCCAGGUCGCACCGUGAAGCACGGAACAGCCGCACCGGUGACGCUCCGUUGCCCGUUUCACCGAGUCGUGAGUCGUCCACUUCGACGAUCCAAUUUUCCUGCCAGCUGCGACUAUACGCGUACUGAAAUCAGUAUUCCGUGGUUAGGCGAUUGCAAUCGACGUUCCUCAGAGGUGGAAGUAUCUCACAGGAGACUGUAGUAGUUGAAUCGACUGAAAUUUGAGAUUUGUGAUAUAGUUGAAUUCUGUUUAUGUAGCGGGAGACACAUUUUGUGUGAUAGAAAUUAUUCUCUUAUUGCUUGCGAUUGUUUAUGUACAUAACAGGCUUUAAUUAAUUGGAUUUAAUUAAAAGAAUUCAUUUAAUUAGAACUGCAAGUAUUAGUAGUAACUAUAAGUAUUUCUACUGCUUGUGAUUGUUUAUGUACACAACAGGCCUUAGGUAAUUGGAUUUAAUUAACAGAGUUCAUUUAAUUAGAAUUGCAAGCAGCUGUAAGUAUCUCUAUUGCUUGUGAUUGUUUAUGUACACAACAGGCUUUAGGUAAUUGGAUUUAAUUGACAGAGUUCAUUUAAUUAGAAUUGCAAGCAACUGUAAGUAUUUUCAUUGCUUGUGGUUGUUUAUGUACACAACAGGCUUUAGGUAUUUGGAUUUAAUUAACAGAAUUUAUUUAAUUAGAACUGCAAGUAAAACUUUGUUAGUUGAGGUUGAGGCUGGUGAUUGUUUAUGUACACAACAGGCUUUAGGUAUUUGGAUUUAAUUAACAGAAUUCAUUUAAUUAGAACUGCAAGUAUAAAACAUUGUUAGUUGAGGUUGAGGCUUGUGAUUGUUUAUGUACACAACAGGCUUUAAAUAAUUGGAUUUAAUUAACAGAAUUCAUUUAAUUAGAACUGCAAGUAAAACUUUGUUAGUUGAGGUUGAGGCUUGUGGUUGUUUAUGUACACAACAGGCUUUAAAUAAUUGGAUUUAAUUAACAGAAUUCAUUUAAUUAGAACUGCAAGUAAAACUUUAUUAGUUGAGGUUGAGGCUUGUGGUUGUUUAUGUACACAACAGGCUUUAAGAAUUUGGAUUUAAUUAACAGAAUUCAUUUAAUUAGAACUGCAAGCAACUGUAAGUAUUUCCAUUGCUUGUGGUUUUUUAUGUACAUAACAACAAGCUUUAAGUAUUUGGAUUUAAUUAAGAGAAUUCAUUUAAUUAGAACUGCAAGUAUAAAACAUUGUUAGUUGAGGUUCUGUUAAUUCCAUUUGUUUUGUAAUGGAAAGUAAUAGAGUAAAAUCUGAUUUAUCUGAAUAAUAAGGAAAGUUAUAGCAAGUUAAUGAAAAUCCACUUGAACCGACGAUACAGAACUGUAUUUAUAUUCUGAAAAUAGAAAAUGAACUUCUCUGUACUAAC